This 964-nucleotide long non-coding RNA is filed under the name Nicotiana benthamiana. RNAcentral's name for it is "long non-coding RNA (NBEN_LNC005036)". Lineage: Eukaryota; Viridiplantae; Streptophyta; Magnoliopsida; Solanales; Solanaceae. The record is from RNAcentral.
UCAAUCUCUGCACCAAAAAUCCUAAAAAUACAUUAGAACUUCACUGAAAAAGUUGUUUUUUUUUUUGCAUUACUUGGACGGUUUUUCUGGGUUUUCUUUGAGAAUUUUAAAAGGCUUUCCAUGGAUUUUCUAGGCUUCUGAGCUAAAAUUUGGCUGGUUUGAAACUGUUUUGCUUGGAGCUUCAUCACUGAUCCUUGUUGUUGUGUUGAGUCAUUGUUGCUAAGUUUCCUUUAUAUUACGUUGGCUAUUUUUCCUAUAGUUACUUUGUCAAGGUACUCUUUCCAGUUCAUUUCUCGUGUAGUGGUUUUCUUUAUAUGAAAUGGAAAAAUUUGUUAAAAGAAUGGAUUUUAUAUGAAUAUUGGUGAGCUAGUAUAGAUCUGAUUCAAAUUUCUUUUGAAAAUCAAUGUGACUCUUGUUAUAUAGGUGGGUUAAUCAUCUGUGAUUUCUUUUCUUCCCAUUGUUUAAGUUUAAAAUUUUCUUUCAAGUUGUAGACUAGACUGUGAAGGGCCCAGCAUGUUUAAAGUAACCUAUAGGGGUCCAUGUGAGGGUUGAAACCUGCUCUCAUUUUAUUGUUUUAUUAUUUAAUAUGGUAGACUAAUAAGUGAAAUAUGUGAGAUAGUAUUAAAGGGAGUUGGACAUGUUUUGGUUACGCUUUCCUUAUGUGAUUGAAACAAAUGAGGGGUUAUAACUGUACUAAAUUUUGUUCUGUCAGCCUGCUGCAAAAAUGAAUCUAAUGCAUAUUUGCAAGUCAGCUCUAUAUUUGCUCUUGCAAAUCCAAGCACGUCUGGAAUCACAAAAUCCCUUAGGAUGGAAGUUAUGGGUUAGAUUAGUCAAGGGCGAGCUUUUAAUUUGAACAUAAUUUUUUAUAGAUUAAGGCGGCAUCCAUGACCCUCAUCUGAUAAUGUCCAUUUCAUUGAAGAAGUAUUAGGCAUGUUCCUAAUAAAAGUUUAUUUGGUUUGGUAGC